UAGGUCUGAGUUGGAUGUAAUUUCAAAAACUGUGCUAUUAAUUUAAGAAAUAUAGUGAUAAAUCUGGGGAUAUUACAAAAUCCCGCGAUAGGACAGAUUAUCUCGCGAGAUAGUGGUGACGUCACGCGUUCUUCCGGAAGUUCACAUUCAAACACGAGGAGCGAUUACGAGGGAGUUCUGUCUAUAUAUCAUUCAAAAUCUACUGUUGGGAAAAGUAGAGUCUCAUCCAAAUAAAAAUAAACAAGCUGUUAAAGGCACUGUGUCCUACACAGACCCUCCAAAAUAUAACCACCCAAAACCCAAGUCAGUUGAAGGUCAACACAAACCAAAUAAAGAUGUGCAUUGCAUUCUACAAACAAUAAAAAAAGAUCAAGUUUUGUGUCCACCACACUUAGAUGAGGCGUGCCCGACCCCUGACUUUGUCUACCCUACAUUAAGUUGCACACUUCAUGACAGUAAACAUCGGUAUCACAAUGGUGUGAUUGAUCUAUACCCUAGAAUAAGCUGUGACACUAUGAGACGUGAGGUAACACAACGAAAAAAUUACCGGAUGGAGACUACCUGAUUCUUCACCUAUGGCCUCAGCUUCAAAUGCAACAUGUCCAGCAACUGUCUGAGUUGGUGGAUAUUCUGUCAGAGACUGCGUGAACAACGUUAUGAACAGAAUGAUGUCAAAUUGUCUUAUGGCAAAGUUCAAUAUGAGGGGUGGUGGACAUCUGGAAAAGAAGUCUUUUAAAGGCACACCUUUGUAUUAUGUUAUUCAAGAUGCUGUGAAGAGGUGGAGCCCAAAUGCCACAGACUCGGAAAUAGAUGCAGCUAUGGCAGACCACCUCAAGCACGCUCCAGGAAGAGCUGGGGGUGGUGGAUACAAAAAAGCCAAACAGCUGUGAUGUGUUAAAGAGAGAGUUCACCAAAAAAGGAAAAUUGUUAUAAUUUUCUUAUCCACAUCUUUCAAACCUGUAUACCUUUAUAUUUUCUGCUGAACACAAAGAUUGAAGAAUGUUUGUAACUUCACAACCAAUUAACUGUCAAUAUUUUUUUUUACAAUUGUAGUAAUGGGUUGUGGGAUCUGCUUUGUUAAAAACAUUCUUUCACAUAUCUUUGUGUUCAGCAGAACAUAGAAGGGUAUACAGGUUUGAAACAUGAGAGGGAAUAAAUUACUAAAUAUUAAUUUUUGGGUGAACUAUCCCUUUAUAGAAAGUGUUUUGAAGUUGUUAUUAUAGUUAAAUGGUUAAAAAAAAUAAAAAGUGCUAAAUCAGAA
This is a non-coding RNA of Misgurnus anguillicaudatus (oriental weatherfish), 1261 nucleotides long. NCBI's taxonomy places the organism in Eukaryota, Metazoa, Chordata, Actinopteri, Cypriniformes, Cobitidae. The record is from RefSeq and is a predicted model, not a curated record.